UGCAGUAUAGCUCGGUGGUAGAGCACUUGGCUAGCAUGCAGGGGGCCAGGGUUCCAUUUCCAGUACAGCCU
RNAcentral lists this transfer RNA (71 nucleotides) under Heterocephalus glaber (naked mole-rat). It matches the Rfam family "tRNA". Rfam says of the family: Transfer RNA (tRNA) molecules are approximately 80 nucleotides in length. Their secondary structure includes four short double-helical elements and three loops (D, anti-codon, and T loops). The record is from Rfam by way of RNAcentral. Lineage: Eukaryota; Metazoa; Chordata; Mammalia; Rodentia; Bathyergidae.